UACGUAGGUGGCAAGCGUUGUCCGGAUUUAUUGGGCGUAAAGAGCGUGUAGGCGGCCGUACAGGUCAGCUGUGAAAACUCGAGGCUCAACCUCGAGACGUCGGUUGAAACCGUACGGCUAGAGUCCGGAAGAGGAGAGUGGAAUUCCCGGUGUAGCGGUGAAAUGCGCAGAUAUCGGGAAGAACACCCGUGGCGAAGGCGGCUCUCUGGGACGGUACUGACGCCGAGACGCGAAAGCGUGGGGAGCGAACAGG
RNAcentral lists this ribosomal RNA (253 nucleotides) under uncultured bacterium. RNAcentral describes it as "partial 16S ribosomal RNA". It matches the Rfam family "Bacterial small subunit ribosomal RNA", at positions 524 to 776 of the family's 1533-position model. The record is from RNAcentral.